Molecule: ribosomal RNA, 1448 nt
Filed under: Staphylococcus cohnii
Lineage: Bacteria; Bacillati; Bacillota; Bacilli; Caryophanales; Staphylococcaceae
Description: bacterial SSU rRNA
Rfam family: Bacterial small subunit ribosomal RNA
Source: RNAcentral
GGCGGCGUGCCUAAUACAUGCAAGUCGAGCGAACAGAUAAGGAGCUUGCUCCUUUGACGUUAGCGGCGGACGGGUGAGUAACACGUGGGUAACCUACCUAUAAGACUGGGAUAACUUCGGGAAACCGGAGCUAAUACCGGAUAACAUUUGGAACCGCAUGGUUCUAAAGUGAAAGAUGGUUUUGCUAUCACUUAUAGAUGGACCCGCGCCGUAUUAGCUAGUUGGUAAGGUAACGGCUUACCAAGGCAACGAUACGUAGCCGACCUGAGAGGGUGAUCGGCCACACUGGAACUGAGACACGGUCCAGACUCCUACGGGAGGCAGCAGUAGGGAAUCUUCCGCAAUGGGCGAAAGCCUGACGGAGCAACGCCGCGUGAGUGAUGAAGGGUUUCGGCUCGUAAAACUCUGUUAUUAGGGAAGAACAAACGUGUAAGUAACUGUGCACGUCUUGACGGUACCUAAUCAGAAAGCCACGGCUAACUACGUGCCAGCAGCCGCGGUAAUACGUAGGUGGCAAGCGUUAUCCGGAAUUAUUGGGCGUAAAGCGCGCGUAGGCGGUUUCUUAAGUCUGAUGUGAAAGCCCACGGCUCAACCGUGGAGGGUCAUUGGAAACUGGGAAACUUGAGUGCAGAAGAGGAAAGUGGAAUUCCAUGUGUAGCGGUGAAAUGCGCAGAGAUAUGGAGGAACACCAGUGGCGAAGGCGACUUUCUGGUCUGUAACUGACGCUGAUGUGCGAAAGCGUGGGGAUCAAACAGGAUUAGAUACCCUGGUAGUCCACGCCGUAAACGAUGAGUGCUAAGUGUUAGGGGGUUUCCGCCCCUUAGUGCUGCAGCUAACGCAUUAAGCACUCCGCCUGGGGAGUACGACCGCAAGGUUGAAACUCAAAGGAAUUGACGGGGACCCGCACAAGCGGUGGAGCAUGUGGUUUAAUUCGAAGCAACGCGAAGAACCUUACCAAAUCUUGACAUCCUUUGAAAACUCUAGAGAUAGAGCCUUCCCCUUCGGGGGACAAAGUGACAGGUGGUGCAUGGUUGUCGUCAGCUCGUGUCGUGAGAUGUUGGGUUAAGUCCCGCAACGAGCGCAACCCUUAAGCUUAGUUGCCAUCAUUAAGUUGGGCACUCUAGGUUGACUGCCGGUGACAAACCGGAGGAAGGUGGGGAUGACGUCAAAUCAUCAUGCCCCUUAUGAUUUGGGCUACACACGUGCUACAAUGGACAAUACAAAGGGCAGCUAAACCGCGAGGUCAUGCAAAUCCCAUAAAGUUGUUCUCAGUUCGGAUUGUAGUCUGCAACUCGACUACAUGAAGCUGGAAUCGCUAGUAAUCGUAGAUCAGCAUGCUACGGUGAAUACGUUCCCGGGUCUUGUACACACCGCCCGUCACACCACGAGAGUUUGUAACACCCGAAGCCGGUGGAGUAACCAUUUAUGGAGCUAGCCGUCGAAGGUGG